RNAcentral lists this ribosomal RNA (301 nucleotides) under uncultured bacterium. Its description in RNAcentral is "partial 16S ribosomal RNA". It matches the Rfam family "Bacterial small subunit ribosomal RNA", at positions 509 to 809 of the family's 1533-position model. The record is from RNAcentral.
CAGUCGCCACGGGAAUACGGAGGGGGCUAGCGUUGUUCGGAAUUACUGGGCGUAAAGCGCACGUAGGCGGCUUGGUAAGUUAGAGGUGAAAGCCUGGAGCUCAACUCCAGAAUUGCCUUUAAGACUGCCGAGCUAGCAGGUGAGAGAGGUAAGUGGAAUUCCGAGUGUAGAGGUGAAAUUCGUAGAUAUUCGGAAGAACACCAGUGGCGAAGGCGGCUUACUGGCUCAUACUGGACGCUGAGGCACGAUAGCGUGGGGAGCAAACAGGAUUAGAUACCCGUGUAGUCCCUGUCUCUUAUCU